RNAcentral lists this ribosomal RNA (432 nucleotides) under uncultured bacterium. RNAcentral describes it as "partial 16S ribosomal RNA". It matches the Rfam family "Bacterial small subunit ribosomal RNA", at positions 29 to 506 of the family's 1533-position model. The record is from RNAcentral.
AACGAACGCUGGCGGCAUGCCUAACACAUGCAAGUCGAACGAACCCUUCGGGGUUAGUGGCGCACGGGUGCGUAACGCGUGGGAAUCUGCCCUUUGCUUCGGAAUAACUCAGGGAAACUUGUGCUAAUACCGGAUGAUGUCUUCGGACCAAAGAUUUAUCGGCAAGGGAUGAGCCCGCGUAGGAUUAGGUAGUUGGUGGGGUAAAGGCCUACCAAGCCGACGAUCCUUAGCUGGUCUGAGAGGAUGAUCAGCCACACUGGGACUGAGACACGGCCCAGACCCCUACGGGAGGGAGGAGUGGGGAAAAUUGGACAAGGGGCCGAAGCCUGACCCAGCAAUGCCGGGUGGGGUAUGAAGGCCCUCGGGCCGUAAAGCUCUUUUACCAGGGAUGAUAAUGACAGUACCUGGAAAAUAAGCCGCGGCUAACCCCGU